RNAcentral lists this ribosomal RNA (337 nucleotides) under Sogatella furcifera (white-backed planthopper). RNAcentral describes it as "partial 12S ribosomal RNA". The record is from RNAcentral. Lineage: Eukaryota; Metazoa; Arthropoda; Insecta; Hemiptera; Delphacidae.
UCAAAUUUAAUUAAAAGUCUAUUUAGGAUUUUGAUUACACAAUAAAUUAAAUUGAUUUGGCGGUUUUUUAACCUUUUUAGAGGAACCUGUGAAUUAAUUCGAUAAUCCACGAUUUUAAAAACCUUAAUUUUCUUGUAUAUCUCUAUAACUGAAUAUAUUUUGAGGUUAAUUUUCUUCUUUUUAGUUAAAUCUUAAUUUAGGUCAAGGUGCAGUUGUAUUGAGGGUUUAAUGGGUUACAUCAAUAUAUGUUUGUGGGUUUCUUAUUAAAACGAGAAUAAAAUUGGAUUUAAAAGUAUAAUUUUUUAUUAAAAAAUUAGAAUAAUGCUCUGAAUUAUGU